Molecule: small RNA, 1037 nt
Filed under: uncultured bacterium
Lineage: Bacteria
Description: bacterial SSU rRNA
Rfam family: Bacterial small subunit ribosomal RNA (bases 1-487)
Source: RNAcentral
AUGGCUGUCGUCAGCUCGUGUCGUGAGAUGUUGGGUUAAGUCCCGCAACGAGCGCAACCCCUGUCCCUAGUUGCCAGCAUUCAGUUGGGCACUCUAGGGAGACUGCCGGUGAUAAGCCGGAGGAAGGUGGGGAUGACGUCAAGUCCUCAUGGCCUUUAUGUCCAGGGCUACACACGUGUUACAAUGGGGGUGACAAAGAGUUGCCAAGCUGCGAAGCUGCGCAAAUCUCAAAAAAACCCUCUCAGUUCGGAUCGCAGUCUGCAACUCGACUGCGUGAAGUUGGAAUCGCUAGUAAUCGCGGAUCAGCACGCCGCGGUGAAUACGUUCCCGGGCCUUGUACACACCGCCCGUCACACCAUGGGAGUUGACAGGGGCAGAAGACGUUGAGCUAACCGCAAGGAGGCAGACGUCCAAGCUCUUGUCGAUGACUGGGGUGAAGUCGUAACAAGGUAGCCGUAGGAGAACCUGCGGCUGGAUCACCUCCUUUCUAAGGAAUCUUUGGAAAAAAAUAGUUGGGUACCUCGGUGCUUAGCUAGUUUGAGUCCAAGGCAAGUCGAAACAUUUCUGGAAAUUCGCCUCUUCACAUCAACCACCAAAGGGCCUGUAGCUCAGCUGGUUAGAGCGCACCCCUGAUAAGGGUGAGGUCGGUGGUUCAAGUCCACCUAGGCCCACCAUGGGGGAUUAGCUCAGCUGGGAGAGCGCCUGCUUUGCACGCAGGAGGUCAGCGGUUCGAUCCCGCUAUCCUCCACCAGGUUACUUUCUCGCUAUUUCUUCGCCGAAAUCAAUAUAAGAUCUUUUGAAAAUUUAGCCAAAGCCUAUCCAGGUCUUAAUUUGGGGUAGACCCUUUGGAGAAUAGUAGUGGAUCCAGAGCAGAGUGUUGAGGAUUCCACGGAGAAGAUAGAGAAGAAGUCAAAUGAAAAGGGCACAGGGCGGAUGCCUUGGCUCCAGGAAGCGAUGAAGGACGUGGCAAGCUGCGAUAAGCCUCGGGAAGAAGCAAACAUUCUUUGAUCCGGGGAUUUCCGAAUGGGGAAACCCGG